This 1116-nucleotide long non-coding RNA is filed under the name Triticum aestivum (bread wheat). RNAcentral's name for it is "long non-coding RNA (TAES_LNC011682)". The record is from RNAcentral. Lineage: Eukaryota; Viridiplantae; Streptophyta; Magnoliopsida; Poales; Poaceae.
ACAACUCUAAAAACAUAAAUAAGUCAUACAAGCAUCAUAAUACAAGCUAGGGGCCUCGAGGGCUCGAAUACAAGUGCUCGAUCAUAGACGAGUCAGCGGAAGCAACAAUAUCUGAGUACAGACAUAAGUUAAACAAGUUGCCAUAAGAUGGCUAGCACAAACUAGGAUACAGAUCGAAAGAGGCGUAGGCCUCCUGCCUGGGAUCCUCCUAACUACUCCUGGUCGUCGUCAGCGGGCUACACGUAGUAGUAGGCACCUCCGGUGUAGUAGGAGUCGUCGCCGACGGUGGUGUCUAGCUCCUGGGCUCCGACAUCUGGUUGCGACAACCAGGUAGAAGGGAAGGGGGAAAAGGGGAGAAAAGCAACCAUGAGUACUCAUCCAAAGUACUCGCAAGCAAGGAGCUACACUACAUAUGCAUGGGUAUAUGUGUAAGGAGGCAAUAUGGGUGGACUGAACUGCAAAAUGCCAGAAUAAGAGGGGGAUAGCUAGUCCUAUCGAAGACUACGCUUCUGGCAGCCUCCGUCUUGCAACAUGUAGAAGAGAGUAGAUUGAAGUCCUCCAAGUAGCAUCGCAUAGCAUAAUCCUACCCGGCGAUCCUCUCCUCGUCGCCCUGUUAGAGAGCGAUCACCGGGUUGUAUCUGGCACUUGGAAGGGUGUGUUUUAUUAAGUAUCCGGUUCUAGUUGUCAUAAGGUCAAGGUACAACUCCGGGUCAUCCUUUUACCGAGGGACACGAUUAUUCGAAUAGAUUAACUUCCCUGCAGGGGUGCACCACAUAACCCAACACGCUCGAUCCCAUUUGGCCGUACACACUUUCCUGGGUCAUGCCCGGCCUCCGAAGAUCAACACGUCGCAGCCCCACCGAGGCCUAACAGAGAGGUCAGCACGCCGGUGUAACUCCUAUGGCGCAGGGGUCUGGGCCCAUCGCCCAUUGCACACCUGCAUGUUGCGUGGGCGGCCGAAAGAAGAACUAGCCCCCUUAAUACAAGAGCAGGCUUACGUUCCAAUCCGGCGCGCGCCACUUAGCCGCUGACGUCUAGAAGGCUUCGGCUGAUACCACGAUGUCGAGUGCCCAUAUCUUUCCCGCGUAGUUGGUUAGUGCGUAUAGGCCAGCGGCC